CAGUCUGUUAGCUGAACAUUCCUAAAUACAUAUUCAGUCCUUCACUUCCUGAGAUGGUGCAACAUACAAGAGGAACAAGACAGCUGCAAGACAGUCCCACUCUAUGAAGUGCUACAUAUAUUUGGGCACCACACACAGAAGAGACUUGCAGGAACAUUUAUGCAACAACAUAAAGGCUUGGAAUCCCUUUGCGUUGAAAAUCAGUCCGACAAAGACCAAAGUCAUUCUCCAACUGAAGUCUAACACCACUGUUUCGGCAUCCAUGAUGUGCAGCUUAAGAUAAUUAAAAUUCUGCUACUUGGGCACCAAGUUCUCAUGAAAUGUUGCUCUAGACAAUGACAUCCCAAGAUGCAUCAGAAUGGCCAUGGAGUAUUUGGAAAGUUGGAGCAUUGGCUCUGGAAGGAAAGAGGAGUCAGACUGACUACCCUGAUUCAAGAGUUCCUCAAGAAUCUAUUCCCCAACUCUUUCCCAAGCCAACUGCUAGCUGUACCUUGCUCGCAACUCGGGAAGACUUGAGAUUGGUCUGCAAUUUUUCCCUAU
Ornithorhynchus anatinus (platypus) is the source of this 540-nucleotide long non-coding RNA. RefSeq lists it as uncharacterized. The transcript is spliced from 3 exons. NCBI's taxonomy places the organism in Eukaryota, Metazoa, Chordata, Mammalia, Monotremata, Ornithorhynchidae. The record is from RefSeq and is a predicted model, not a curated record.